RNAcentral lists this ribosomal RNA (253 nucleotides) under uncultured bacterium. RNAcentral describes it as "partial 16S ribosomal RNA". It matches the Rfam family "Bacterial small subunit ribosomal RNA", at positions 524 to 776 of the family's 1533-position model. The record is from RNAcentral.
UACAGAGGGUGCAAGCGUUAAUCGGAAUUAUUGGGCGUAAAGGGCUUGUAGGUUGUUGUUUAAGUUAGAUGUGAAACCCCUGGGCUUAACCUGGGACGUGCAUUUAAUACUGGAUGACUAGAGUAUGGUAGAGGAGUAGGGAAUUCCUGGUGUAGCAGUGAAAUGCGUAGAGAUCAGGAGGAACAUCAGUGGCGAAGGCGCUACUCUGGACUAAUACUGACACUGAGGAGCGAAGGCGUGGGGAUCAAACAGG